UACGUAGGGGCAAGCGUUAUCCGGAAUUAUUGGGCGUAAAGAGUGCGUAGGUGGUUACCUAAGCGCAAGGUUUAAUCUUGAGGCUCAACCUCAUUCUGCCUUGCGAACUGGGCUACUUGAGUGCAGGAAGGGAAAGCGGAAUUCCUAGUGUAGCGGUGAAAUGCGUAGAUAUUAGGAGGAACACCAGUAGCGAAGGCGGCUCUCUGGACUGUAACUGACGCUGAGGCACGAAAGCGUGGGGAGCAAACAGGAUUAGAUACCCGCGUAGUCCCU
This 273-nucleotide ribosomal RNA is filed under the name uncultured prokaryote. RNAcentral's name for it is "partial 16S ribosomal RNA". It matches the Rfam family "Bacterial small subunit ribosomal RNA", at positions 524 to 798 of the family's 1533-position model. The record is from RNAcentral.